UUUAAAUACUCUAUCAGUGGUAGAGGAGCAUUGUAUUAGGGAAGAAGCCCAAGCGAAAGCAGGCGUGGACUUAAUACAAGAGAGAAUGCUGGCAUGAGUAGCGAGAAGGGAUGUGAGAAUCAUCCCCGUCGAAACCCCAAGGACUCCUGAGCAAGGCUCGUCCCCUCAGGGAAAGUCGGGACCUAAGGCGAGGCCAAAAGGCGUAGCCGAUGGAUAACAGGUUUAUAUUCCUGUACCGCUUAAAGUCGCUAUUAGAGAAGUGAUGACGCAAGAGGAUAAGCUAAGCUGCCCGAUGGAUGGCAGUCUAAGCACAAAGGCUGAUUAGUAGGCAAAUCCGCUAAUCAAAAAGCUAAUGUGUGAUAGGUAUCGAAAACAUGAGUAGAGAAGUAGCCGAUUUCAAAUUGCCAAGAAAAGUCACUAUCGAUGACCAAAGCGCCCGUACCAAAACCGACACAGGUAGGGAGGUAGAGAAUACCAAGACGCGCGGAAGAACCUUUGUUAAGGAACUCGGCAAAAUGUCCCCGUAACUUCGGGAGAAGGGGAGCCAUAGCGAUAUGGCCACAGAAACCAGGCCCAAGCGACUGUUUACCAAAAACACAAGUUUCUGCAAAAUCGUAAGAUGAAGUAUAGGAGCUGACACCUGCCCGGUGCUGGAAGGUUAAGGGGAAGGCUUAGCGCAAGCGAAGGCUAGAACUUAAGCCCCAGUAAACGGCGGCCGUAACUAUAACGGUCCUAAGGUAGCGAAAUUCCUUGUCGGGUAAGUUCCGACCCGCACGAAAGGUGUAACGAUUUGGGCACUGUCUCAACAAAGGAUCCGGUGAAAUUGUAGUAGUCGUGAAGAUGCGACUUACCCACGCUAGGACGGAAAGACCCCGUGGAGCUUUACUGUAGGCUGAUAUUGGAUUUUGAGAUUAGAUGUACAGGAUAGUUGGGAGGCGAAGACGCGUGUACGCCAGUAUGCGCCAAGCCAUCCUUGGGAUACCAACCUUCUAAUAUCAGAAUUCUAACAUUGACCCUUAAUCAGGGCAAAGGACAUUGUCAGUUGGGCAGUUUGACUGGGGCGGUCGCCUCCUAAAAAGUAACGGAGGCGUUCAAAGGUUCGCUCAGAAUGGACGGAAACCAUUCGCAGAGUACAAAGGCAAAAGCGAGCUUAACUGCGAGAGAUACAGCUCAAGCAGAGUAGAAAUACGGACUUAGUGAUCCGGUGGCACCGCAUGGAAGGGCCAUCGCUCAACGGAUAAAAGCUACCCCGGGGAUAACAGGCUUAUCUCCCCCAAGAGUCCACAUCGACGGGGAGGUUUGGCACCUCGAUGUCGGCUCGUCUCAUCCUGGGGCUGAAGUAGGUCCCAAGGGUUGGGCUGUUCGCCCAUUAAAGAGGCACGCGAGCUGGGUUCAGAACGUCGUGAGACAGUUCGGUCCCUAUCCAGCGUGGGCGUAAGAAAUUUGCGAGGACCUGUCCUUAGUACGAGAGGACCGGGAUGGACAUACCACUGGUGUACCAGUUGUUCCGCCAGGAGCAUAGCUGGGUAGCUAAGUAUGGAAUUGAUAAGUACUGAAAGCAUCUAAGUACGAAGCAACCCUCAAGAUAAGAUUUCUAAAAGUACGUAAAGAAAAUACGUUUGAUAGGUCCAAGGUGUAAGUGCAGUAAUGUAUUAAGCUAAUGGAUACUAAACUUUUAAUCUUGACUGG
RNAcentral lists this ribosomal RNA (1689 nucleotides) under Anaerococcus sp. mt242. RNAcentral describes it as "partial 23S ribosomal RNA". It matches the Rfam family "Bacterial large subunit ribosomal RNA", at positions 1209 to 2925 of the family's 2925-position model. The record is from RNAcentral. Lineage: Bacteria; Bacillati; Bacillota; Tissierellia; Tissierellales; Peptoniphilaceae.